This is a non-coding RNA of Callithrix jacchus (white-tufted-ear marmoset), 886 nucleotides long. NCBI's taxonomy places the organism in Eukaryota, Metazoa, Chordata, Mammalia, Primates, Cebidae. The record is from RefSeq and is a predicted model, not a curated record.
CCUUGCCCGUAGCCAUGACCUCCAUACUAAGAGAGGCAUCAGCACUUGUUUGACCUGGAAGAAUGCCGACCUUCUUUUCCUCUUGGUCACACACACUCAUUAUGCGGGACAUGGAUUAAGCUGGAAACUAUCGUUCUCAGCAAACUGACAUAAGAACAGAAAAUGAAACACCUCAUCUUCUCAUCUACUAAAGGGUGAGGAUCAAAAGGAACAAGUGGUACCCUGGAAAAAGAUGGAACAAUGCUGUGUAACUUUCUGGCCUAACCUGGCUGAUCACAAAGGCACGAGACAGACAGGGGAGCCGUGUGGCCACAUCUGACAUCAGUCUCAACAGUUUCCCACAUUUGUGGCACAUAGUGAAGGGCAUCUCUACUCCAACGAUAAAAAAUCAAAAGGCCUUUCAUGUGUUUGCACAUUCAGGUUAGUGAGUAAUGAGAAAUGACGCCGGGAAUGACGGACGCGCGGCUGGAAGCCCGGACGUCUGGGGUGUCGCCUGUUUGUCUGAAUAGCCUACGUCUUUCUGCCCACCGAGAUCUCAGUGGGGCUGAGUGACUGAGCCUUCAGGCUUAGUAUUUCCCUGCCUCCUUUGUGUAUUUCAACUUCUUUGACGUCAAGAAUUUUCUCUUUUGCACAGCUUUGCUUCUUUCCAGGAACUGAAUGGUACGUGGAUGACUCACAAAAGUCUUUAGACAAGAGGAGGACAAUGGAGACCCUUGUUCGUCGCCAGAAGUACCUGCAGAGCCUUAGCUUUGCUGGAAACAUGACCUAUAACUGCUCUGACUUUUGGACCCCAGAAACACUUGAAAGCUCAGCUGCCUUAUUGCUGUGUGUUCACCUUAUCACAGAGCCUCGGAGCCUGGGAAAUAAAGGCACAGACUCUCUUUAG